AAACCUUUCAAAGGGGAGUAGCGUUAGGGAAACCUAAAACAAAGUCGUCAGUACGUGGUUUUUACCAUCGGCUUUGUUGGCAUUUUUACAAUGUC
RNAcentral lists this small RNA (95 nucleotides) under Bacillus sp. (in: firmicutes). RNAcentral describes it as "Bacillus sp. Manganese sequence". It matches the Rfam family "Manganese Mn2+ riboswitch aptamer (yybP-ykoY)". From Rfam's summary of the family: This RNA was originally discovered in E. coli during a large scale screen and was named SraF. The family was later found to exist upstream of related families of protein genes in many bacteria, including the the yybP and ykoK genes in B. subtilis. The specific functions of these proteins are unknown, but this structured RNA element may be involved in their genetic regulation as a riboswitch. Lineage: Bacteria; Bacillati; Bacillota; Bacilli; Caryophanales; Bacillaceae. The record is from RNAcentral.